UUUUUGUUUUUCCUUUUCUCAGAAACAACAACAAAUCCUCAAGUCAGCAGUCCUCGUCAUCUUCUUCUUCUUCCUCUCUAUCAUCAUGUUCUUCUUCAUCUGCACUAGCACAAGAACUGUCUCAGCAAACAGCAGUAAUACCAGAGUCUGAUUCUAAUAGCCAGGUUGACUGGACCUAUGAUCCAAAUGAGCCACGUUACUGCAUUUGUAAUCAGGUGUCCUAUGGUGAAAUGGUAGGCUGUGAUAACCAAGAUUGUCCUAUUGAGUGGUUCCACUAUGGAUGUGUUGGACUGACAGAAGCACCAAAAGGGAAAUGGUACUGUCCACAGUGUACAGCUGCAAUGAAGAGAAGAGGCAGUAGACAUAAAUAAGUUUCUUCAUCUGGAAAACAAAUUGUGUACUAAAGGUUUUAUAGAGGUCUUAGGAGCGGAGGGGGAACUCUCACAACACCUCCUUGCAACCACUGAAGAGUUAACAUGGCAGUCAUAGAAUGGUUGGGACUUAAUGGAAAGGACCGUAAAGAUCAUCUAGUUCCAGCCCCCAGUCAUAAGAUCAUGAAUAUUGGUUUUGCUAGUUGUGUUUUAACAUUCUAAGUAAAUUAUUUACGCACCUUGAUGUGCUACAGAUAAUAUUCCAGUGAGCCUUGGAUUAUUCCAGUGGCCAACAUAUGCAGAGAUUUGUACUAUCAAACCAUUUUCUCUAAGCACUGGGCAUUCUACAAUUAUUUAAUCUUCAAAGAAUUCCAAUAAGUCAAGGUUUUAAAUGUAUGUUUUAUAUACAAGAGAUAUAUUCUGCUGCAUGUACUGUACUCAAGAGCUGUUACGUAACACUAUGUAUAUAAAUGGUGCAAAAAGUCAGUGCUUCUGAAAAGAAAGAGACAAUGUUUUUAAAAUGCCUUUAUAGCUUUGGUUCUUUAUGAAACUUAAUUCAGCAGGCUGAAGAAAAUGGUUCUUGUAUACAGCGGGCUGUUGUCCUUUAGGGUACUCAAGUAUGUAAAAACAAAAAAAAUGCUGUAGAAUAAAACAAACUUGUGCCAUUAGUCUUUAUAUGUUUCUGCUCCAGAGAAGGUGGGGGCCAUAAGAGGAAAAAAAGGUGUUAAAGUGACAAUAAAUUUUUAUACCAAAUGUGUUUAUUUUUUUGUGCAAGUAAUCCUUUAAAUUUGAAUUGUAUUAGGUGUAAAAUAAAACAACCUCAACUCCUCAAA
This is a long non-coding RNA of Pseudopipra pipra, 1204 nucleotides long. RefSeq lists it as uncharacterized. The record is from RefSeq and is a predicted model, not a curated record. The transcript is spliced from 3 exons. Lineage: Eukaryota; Metazoa; Chordata; Aves; Passeriformes; Pipridae.